Molecule: ribosomal RNA, 103 nt
Filed under: Oxyeleotris lineolata (sleepy cod)
Lineage: Eukaryota; Metazoa; Chordata; Actinopteri; Gobiiformes; Eleotridae
Description: partial 16S ribosomal RNA
Source: RNAcentral
CAUACCCAACAGCUAGCCCCCUCACCCAAAAACAACAAACCCCAUUAAUAAACCCUCAGGCACAACCUCCCGCAUAUAAAUAAAUCAUUCUCCCUCCUUAGUA